UAAAGGUGUCUUGUGGUCUGCCGGCGCACAAUCUAAUUAUUAUUGAGUGAGUGCUCAGAGAAGGUGAAAAGCCUGUGUGAUUGUAGCUGUCAGUAGACCCGAGAUACUGAAGAGUCUAGUUGUUUGAGAGUACAACUUAAAGUUGGUGGUAAAUUUCAUCAAAGGCUAAAUAUAUGAGGGGACUAAUAGCGAACAAGUACCAUGAGGGAAAGUUGAAAAGAACUCUGACGAGAGAGUUCAACAGUACGUGAAACCAUAAUGAGUAAAACAGAUAACUGUGUUGUUAUGCGGUGCGUCCAUCAGCAGCAAACUGAGCGAUGUGCUGCUGCGCCUGUAGGCUGUCUAUUCAGCUGCACGGGCGUAGCGAGCAGAGCACGGAUUUCUGUGGACUUGUGCGCACUCGACCAUUGAGAAACUAUGCUGCGGUGGCAUCGGCGUUCCCCAGUCCGCACCUAGUGCGCAGUGGUGCGUUGGGCCUCUACCGCUGGCGUCGUUUGGCUGUAAGCUGACAGCUGCGGGAUGCUCUUUGCUGAAUGUGUCUGCUUUGUCUGCGAAUCGGUUUAUUCCUUUUCGCGGUGAGUAUGGCGUAGUGGGCAAGCGUUCCGGCAUCAAUGGUAAACAUUAGUUAUUUGACCCGUCUUGAAACACGGACCAAGGAGUUCAAAUGGCACGCGAGUCAUUGGGUUUAAGCACCCGAAGGCGAAGUGAAAUGCAAACGUAUUGUUAGUCGUGGUUGUUCCGCGAUGAAACGAUAAGCUACUCAUGCUU
This 768-nucleotide ribosomal RNA is filed under the name Zygoseius sp. NFS-2015. RNAcentral describes it as "eukaryotic LSU rRNA". It matches the Rfam family "Eukaryotic large subunit ribosomal RNA", at positions 151 to 777 of the family's 3401-position model. The record is from RNAcentral. Lineage: Eukaryota; Metazoa; Arthropoda; Arachnida; Mesostigmata; Pachylaelapidae.